This 75-nucleotide non-coding RNA is filed under the name Arthrobacter sp. RNAcentral's name for it is "c-di-GMP sequence". It matches the Rfam family "c-di-GMP-I-GGC riboswitch aptamer". Lineage: Bacteria; Bacillati; Actinomycetota; Actinomycetes; Micrococcales; Micrococcaceae. The record is from RNAcentral.
AUCGAUAACGGCACACCCGGUGCAAGCCGGGGUCGCAAAGCCACGGGGCCCCAGGGGUCAGCCGGGCUACCGAAC